RNAcentral lists this ribosomal RNA (483 nucleotides) under uncultured bacterium. RNAcentral describes it as "partial 16S ribosomal RNA". It matches the Rfam family "Bacterial small subunit ribosomal RNA", at positions 28 to 507 of the family's 1533-position model. The record is from RNAcentral.
GACGAACGCUGGCGGCGUGCUUAACACAUGCAAGUCGAACGCUGAAGCUCAGCUUUUGUUGGGUGGAUGAGUGGCGAACGGGUGAGUAACACGUGAGUAACCUGCCUCCUUCUUUGGGAUAACGCCCGGAAACGGGUGCUAAUACUGGAUAUUCACUGGUCUUCGCAUGGGGGUUGGUGGAAAGGGUUUUUCUGGUGGGGGAUGGGCUCGCGGCCUAUCAGCUUGUUGGUGGGGUGAUGGCCUACCAAGGCUUUGACGGGUAGCCGGCCUGAGAGGGUGACCGGUCACAUUGGGACUGAGAUACGGCCCAGACUCCUACGGGAGGCAGCAGUGGGGAAUAUUGCACAAUGGGCGCAAGCCUGAUGCAGCGACGCCGCGUGGGGGAUGGAGGCCGUCGGGUUGUGAACCUCUUUCGCUCAUGGUCAAGCCGCAACAAUGGUUGUGGUGAGGGUAGUGGGUAAAGAAGCGCCGGCUAACUACGUG